Molecule: transfer RNA, 76 nt
Filed under: Canis lupus familiaris (dog)
Lineage: Eukaryota; Metazoa; Chordata; Mammalia; Carnivora; Canidae
Rfam family: tRNA
About the family: Transfer RNA (tRNA) molecules are approximately 80 nucleotides in length. Their secondary structure includes four short double-helical elements and three loops (D, anti-codon, and T loops).
Source: Rfam by way of RNAcentral
GCCUGACUGGCUCAGUUAGAGUCAGAGCAUGCAACUCUUAAUCUCAGAGUCAUGAGUUCGAGCCCCAUGUUGGGUG